This is a long non-coding RNA of Canis lupus familiaris (dog), 456 nucleotides long. RefSeq lists it as uncharacterized. Lineage: Eukaryota; Metazoa; Chordata; Mammalia; Carnivora; Canidae. The record is from RefSeq and is a predicted model, not a curated record. The transcript has 3 exons.
GGGCUCCAUCCCAGGACUCCAGGAUCAUGACCAGAGCUGAAGGUUUUCCAGUAACCCCCGUGCGGUGGACAGAACCUAAGCACACUGGAGCUAGAGACUCUCCUUGUGGGCCUGAUGGAGUGAGUAAACAGCCAUGUUGUAGAAGCCCACAUGACAUAACCCCCAGGAGCUGCGGAUGCCUCUGGAACCAGCUGACAGCCAUCAAAAACCCCAGGCCUUGAGCCAUACAGUCCAAAGGAAAUAAGUUCUGCCAAGAAAACCUGAAGGCGCUUGCAUGUGGAUUCUUCCCCAGUUGAGUCUCUGGGUGAGGAUGCAGCCUUGCUGAUAACCUUGAUUAUAGCCUUCUGAGACCUGGAGCAAAAGAUUCAGCUGAUAGGGCUGAGGCUCCUGACCUGAACCUCAGAUAAUGUAUGUUGUUUUAAGCCAUUAAAUUUGUGAUAAUUUGAAUCACAGCAA